GUGCUCGCUUUGGCAGCACAUAUACUAAAAUUGGGACUAUACAGAGAAGAUCAGUAUGGCCCCUGCACAAGGAUGACAUGCAAAUUCGGGAAGUAUUCAAUAUUUUA
Molecule: small nuclear RNA, 107 nt
Organism: Cavia porcellus (domestic guinea pig)
Lineage: Eukaryota; Metazoa; Chordata; Mammalia; Rodentia; Caviidae
Source: Ensembl